UACGUAGGGGUCGAGCGUUGUCCGGAGUUACUGGGCGUAAAGCGUGCGCAGGCGGCUCAUCGCGCUCGGCGUGAAAGCCCCCGGCUCAACCGGGGAGGGUCGUCGAGGACGGGUGAGCUUGAGGGUAUCAGGGGUUGGUGGAAUUCCCGGUGUAGUGGUGAAAUGCGUAGAGAUCGGGCGGAACACCAGCGGCGAAGGCGGCAUCCUGGCCCUAUCCUGACGCUGAGGCGCGAGAGCGUGGGGAGCAAACCGG
This 253-nucleotide ribosomal RNA is filed under the name uncultured bacterium. RNAcentral's name for it is "partial 16S ribosomal RNA". It matches the Rfam family "Bacterial small subunit ribosomal RNA", at positions 524 to 776 of the family's 1533-position model. The record is from RNAcentral.